GUGCUUGCUUUAGUAACACAUACUAAAACUGGAUGGACACAGAGAUUAACAUGGCCCCUGUGCAAGGGUGACACACAAAUCUGUGAAGUGUUCCCAUGUUUU
This is a small nuclear RNA of Octodon degus (degu), 102 nucleotides long. The record is from Ensembl. NCBI's taxonomy places the organism in Eukaryota, Metazoa, Chordata, Mammalia, Rodentia, Octodontidae.